This 161-nucleotide ribosomal RNA is filed under the name Delarbrea michieana. RNAcentral describes it as "5.8S ribosomal RNA". It matches the Rfam family "5.8S ribosomal RNA". Rfam says of the family: 5.8S ribosomal RNA (5.8S rRNA) is a component of the large subunit of the eukaryotic ribosome. It is transcribed by RNA polymerase I as part of the 45S precursor that also contains 18S and 28S rRNA. The record is from RNAcentral. Lineage: Eukaryota; Viridiplantae; Streptophyta; Magnoliopsida; Apiales; Myodocarpaceae.
AAACGACUCUCGGCAACGGAUAUCUCGGCUCUCGCAUCGAUGAAGAACGUAGCGAAAUGCGAUACUUGGUGUGAAUUGCAGGAUCCUGUGAACCAUCGAGUCUUUGAACGCAAGUUGCGCCCGAAGCCAUUCGGCUGAGGGCAGUCUGCCUGGGCGUCAGC